This 274-nucleotide ribosomal RNA is filed under the name uncultured bacterium. RNAcentral's name for it is "partial 16S ribosomal RNA". It matches the Rfam family "Bacterial small subunit ribosomal RNA", at positions 523 to 796 of the family's 1533-position model. The record is from RNAcentral.
AUACGGAGGGUGCGAACGUUAAUCGGAAUUACUGGGCGUAAAGCGCGCGUAGGCGGUUCGACAAGUGGGAUGUGAAAGCCCAGGGCUUAACCUUGGAACUGCAUUCCAAACUGUCGGACUAGAGUAUGGUAGAGGGAGGUAGAAUUUCCUGUGUAGCGGUGAAAUGCGUAGAUAUAGGAAGGAAUACCGGUGGCGAAGGCGGCCUCCUGGACCAAUACUGACGCUGAGGUGCGAAAGCGUGGGGAGCAAACAGGAUUAGAUACCCCAGUAGUCC